RNAcentral lists this long non-coding RNA (610 nucleotides) under Gossypium barbadense (sea-island cotton). Its description in RNAcentral is "long non-coding RNA (GBAR_LNC008685)". The record is from RNAcentral. Lineage: Eukaryota; Viridiplantae; Streptophyta; Magnoliopsida; Malvales; Malvaceae.
GUCUUACCGGUCAAAGUCUUGACGAAGAUCUGCAUCCCACCUCGAAGACGCAGGACCAGAUGAAGAGUCGAUUCCUUCUGGAUAUUGUAAUCGGCUAAAGUCCGCCCGUCCUCGAGUUGCUUUCCGGCGAAGAUGAGACGUUGCUGGUCUGGCGGGAUGCCUUCCUUGUCUUGGAUUUUGGCUUUCACGUUGUCGAUCGUGUCAGAGCUCUCGACCUCGAGAGUGAUCGUCUUUCCCGUAAGCGUCUUAACGAAGAUUUGCAUCCCGCCACGCAAACGAAGGACAAGGUGGAGCGUUGACUCCUUCUGGAUGUUGUAGUCGGCCAAGGUACGGCCGUCUUCGAGUUGUUUUCCGGCGAAGAUGAGACGUUGCUGGUCUGGGGGGAUGCCUUCCUUGUCUUGGAUCUUCGCCUUAACGUUGUCGAUCGUGUCGGAGCUCUCGACCUCGAGAGUGAUUGUCUUGCCGGUCAAGGUUUUCACGAAGAUUUGCAUCCCACCGCGCAAACGGAGGACGAGGUGGAGAGUUGACUCCUUUUGGAUGUUGUAAUCGGCCAAGGUCCGGCCGUCCUCAAGCUGUUUUCCGGCGAAGAUCAGACGCUGCUGGUCUGGAG